RNAcentral lists this ribosomal RNA (124 nucleotides) under Dipodomys ordii (Ord's kangaroo rat). Lineage: Eukaryota; Metazoa; Chordata; Mammalia; Rodentia; Heteromyidae. The record is from RNAcentral.
GCCUACAACCAUACCACCCUCAAAGUACCUGAUUUCAUCUCAUCUCAGAAAUGAAACAGGUUGGUCCUACUUAGUACUUAGAUAGAAACCCCAGUACUACAAAAAAAGAAAAGGAAAGAAGGAA